GACUGCGAGACUAGAGUGUGGCAGAGGGGGGUAGAAUUCCACGUGUAGCAGUGAAAUGCGUAGAGAUGUGGAGGAAUACCGAUGGCGAAGGCAGCCCCCUGGGCCAACACUGACGCUCAUGCACGAAAGCGUGGGGAGCAAACAGGAUUAGAUACCCUGGUAGUCCACGCCCUAAACGAUGUCAACUAGUUGUUGGGGAAGGAGACUUCCUUAGUAACGCAGCUAACGCGUGAAGUUGACCGCCUGGGGAGUACGGUCGCAAGAUUAAAACUCAAAGGAAUUGACGGGGACCCGCACAAGCGGUGGAUUAUGUGGAUUAAUUCGAUGCAACGCGAAAAACCUUACCUGCCCUUGACAUGCCAGGAACUUUCCAGAGAUGGAUUGGUGCCCGAAAGGGAACCUGGACACAGGUGCUGCAUGGCUGUCGUCAGCUCGUGUCGCGAGAUGUUGGGUUAAGUCCCGCAACGAGCGCAACCCUUGCCAUUAAUUGCCAUCAUUCAGUUGGGCACUUUAAUGGGACUGCCGGUGAUAAACCGGAGGAAGGUGGGGAUGACGUCAAGUCCUCAUGGCCCUUAUGGGUAGGGCUUCACACGUAAUACAAUGGUCGGUACAGAGGGUUGCCAACCCGCGAGGGGGAGCUAAUCCCAGAAAGCCGAUCGUAGUCCGGAUUGUUCUCUGCAACUCGAGAGCAUGAAGUCGGGAUCGCUAGUAAUCGCGGAUCAGCAUGUCGCGGUGAAUACGUUCCCGGGUCUUGUACACACCGCCCGUCACACCAUGGGAGUGGAAUCUGGCAGAAGUAGGUAGCCUAACCGCA
Molecule: ribosomal RNA, 814 nt
Filed under: uncultured Rhodocyclales bacterium
Lineage: Bacteria; Pseudomonadati; Pseudomonadota; Betaproteobacteria; Rhodocyclales
Description: bacterial SSU rRNA
Rfam family: Bacterial small subunit ribosomal RNA
Source: RNAcentral